This 1137-nucleotide long non-coding RNA is filed under the name Phasianus colchicus (ring-necked pheasant). RNAcentral describes it as "lncRNA (ENSPCLG00000015192.1)". The record is from RNAcentral. Lineage: Eukaryota; Metazoa; Chordata; Aves; Galliformes; Phasianidae.
CUGAGCUUUUAUUUCUUAGAAAUGUACAAUCGUAGAUAAUAAAUUAUAAAAAAAUGACCAGGCAUUUUUGCAGCUUGACAUAAUAUUUUGAAGGCUUCCUAUGAAAGUAAAACACAGCAAGAUAUAUUAUGAGGUUUACUUACAUGCAUUUUAGUUGUAUUUUAUAGUGUAUUCUACCAUAAAUAUGCAGAUUUAUUUUAUUCAUAAAAUGUAAUCUCUCUUCCAGUGUACUUUUAGAUCAAUUCUCUUUAGAGUAGGACUUAAAAUAUGUUAAUGUGUGGCUAAAGUAUAUUUGAAAAACAUAUUUUAAAGCCUUUAAAACAGGGUUUUCUUCACACCUUAAUUAAUUUUUGCAUUAAGUUAACGUUCUACAACUCAGAUCUGUAUCUUUACAAAAAGUAAAGUAAAAAUAAUUUUCAGUCAACCUACACAAUGUUUCCUUUAUUUAUAGUAAUAUAAAAUAAAAUUGCUAAUAUUUUUCACAUAGUAGUAGAACAAAACACUAUGUGUCUCUGUAGAAGCCUAUGUGGAAAAAAAAUCUCAGGCACAUUGUUAACUCUUGUGUUAUUUGCCUUUAAGAUAGAUGAAGCUGGUGAAUCCUAUUAGAGAAUUAAAGGGGAGAGUAGUUGUUUUUUACUGGUGAGGGAAGGGGGCAGGAAGUUAUAUAGUCAGAAAAGCAGGAGGAAAUAUUCUAAGAGUGUGGGAUGAUGUUGGCAAAUGAGUAAAAUCAAGCUAAAACAGUGGUAUCAUCCGGAAAAAGAGUCAAUUAAAUAAUGAAGAAAACGUUGGAAUUAGUAAUGGUAGAAUGAAUAUACGUAUUUAUUUGAGCUGUUUAACUGCAGUACCAGGAAGAAGUAGACAAUGGACCAUAUCUGGUAAGUCCAAGCCAGCAACCUCAGGGCUUGUGCAGAGCUCAUUCUGCAGCCUGCUCACUGUCCCACACAGUGGCAGCAGCACUUCCUUGCUGAGUGGCCCAGCUUGGCUACAUUCUCAGCAUGGCAAGGCAAAGUGUAGUGCUCAUUGAGUUAUAGCAAAUAAUUUUAUGUGUUUUGGUACACUGGCUAAGCACAGUUCUGUAAAGAGUGUAAAACAGGCAGUCCUGCUUUGAUAUAGGAAAUUGAGAAUAAUUUUCAAGAU